AUCUAUGGUCAUACCAGUCUGAAAGUGUCUGAUCUUGUCAGCUCUCAGAAGCCAUCCAGACUCAGGUCUGGUUAGUACUUGUAAGGGAGACCAACUAGGAACCUCAGGUGCCGUAAUGG
This 119-nucleotide ribosomal RNA is filed under the name Pelobates cultripes (western spadefoot toad). Lineage: Eukaryota; Metazoa; Chordata; Amphibia; Anura; Pelobatidae. The record is from RNAcentral.